Molecule: long non-coding RNA, 299 nt
Organism: Lycium barbarum (goji berry)
Lineage: Eukaryota; Viridiplantae; Streptophyta; Magnoliopsida; Solanales; Solanaceae
Exons: 3
Source: RefSeq, a predicted model, not a curated record
GCUAGGGUUUCAAUAACCCUAGCGCCGCCUCAAACUCCUCUCUCUCUCCUCUGCCAUCUUUGUCGGAAAUGGAAAAAUGCAAGAGGUCCUCAGUCUUUUCAGCCUUUGCCAUGGCCAAAUGAAAUAAUACAUUUAUUUGAACACCCCAUUUUCAACCAGCAACGCCCAAACACGAUUGGAGGCACAAAAGGUUCCAAAUUCAUUCUUGUCUCGGCUGCGCAACAAAAGGUAGACAGGGAGGUGAUCCAGAUUCAUAGGAGCUGUCAGCAGACUUUGAGAGCACUCCAUGGUUUCGGAGG